GAUCAUGGCUCAGGAUGAACGCUAGCUACAGGCUUAACACAUGCAAGUCGAGGGGCAGCAUGGAGUUUGCUUGCAAACUCUGAUGGCGACCGGCGCACGGGUGAGUAACGCGUAUCCAACCUUCCCUAUACUAGAGGAUAGCCCGGCGAAAGUCGGAUUAAUACUCUAUGUUGUAUUUAGAGGACAUCUGAAGAAUACCAAAGGUUUACCGGUAUAGGAUGGGGAUGCGUCUGAUUAGGUUGUUGGUGGGGUAACGGCCCACCAAGCCUUCGAUCAGUAGGGGUUCUGAGAGGAAGGUCCCCCACAUUGGAACUGAGACACGGUCCAAACUCCUACGGGAGGCAGCAGUGAGGAAUAUUGGUCAAUGGGCGAGAGCCUGAGCCAGCCAAGUAGCGUGCAGGACGACGGCCCUAUGGGUUGUAAACUGCUUUUAUGCGGGGAUAAAGUUCACUACGUGUAGUGUUUUGUAGGUACCGCAUGAAUAAGGACCGGCUAAUUCCGUGCCAGCAGCUGC
This 514-nucleotide ribosomal RNA is filed under the name uncultured bacterium. RNAcentral's name for it is "bacterial SSU rRNA". It matches the Rfam family "Bacterial small subunit ribosomal RNA", at positions 15 to 518 of the family's 1533-position model. The record is from RNAcentral.